Molecule: ribosomal RNA, 1340 nt
Filed under: metagenome
Description: bacterial SSU rRNA
Rfam family: Bacterial small subunit ribosomal RNA
Source: RNAcentral
AGAGUUUGAUCCUGGCUCAGGACGAACGCUGGCGGCGCGCCUAACACAUGCAAGUCGAACGAGCGAGAGAGAGUUUACUUUCUCGAGCGAGUGGCGAACGGGUGAGUAACGCGUGAGGAACCUGCCUCAAAGAGGGGGACAACAGUUGGAAACGACUGCUAAUACCGCAUAAGCCCACGACCCGGCAUCGGGUAGAGGGAAAAGGAUCAAUCCGCUUUGAGAUGGCCUCGCGUCCGAUUAGCUAGUUGGUGAGGUAACGGCCCACCAAGGCGACGAUCGGUAGCCGGACUGAGAGGUUGAACGGCCACAUUGGGACUGAGACACGGCCCAGACUCCUACGGGAGGCAGCAGUGGGGAAUAUUGCACAAUGGGGGAAACCCUGAUGCAGCGACGCCGCGUGGAGGAGAAGGUCUUCGGAUUGUGAACUCCUGUUGUUGAGGAAGAUAAUGACGGUACUCAACAAGGAAGUGACGGCUAACUACGUGCCAGCAGCCGCGGUAAAACGUAGGUCACAAGCGUUGUCCGGAAUUACUGGGUGUAAAGGGAGCGCAGGCGGGAAGACAAGUUGGAAGUGAAAUCCAUGGGCUCAACCCAUGAUCUGCUUUCAAAACUGUUUUUCUUGAGUAGUGCAGAGGUAGGCGGAAUUCCCGGUGUAGCGGUGGAAUGCGUAGAUAUCGGGAGGAACACCAGUGGCGAAGGCGGCCUACUGGGCACCAACUGACGCUGAGGCUCGAAAGUGUGGGUAGCAAACAGGAUUAGAUACCCUGGUAGUCCACACUGUAAACGAUGAUUACUAGGUGUUGGAGGAUUGACCCCUUCAGUGCCGCAGUUAACACAAUAAGUAAUCCACCUGGGGAGUACGACCGCAAGGUUGAAACUCAAAGGAAUUGACGGGGGCCCGCACAAGCAGUGGAGUAUGUGGUUUAAUUCGACGCAACGCGAAGAACCUUACCAAGUCUUGACAUCCUGCGACGGACAUAGAAAUAUGUUUUUCCUUCGGGACGCAGAGACAGGUGGUGCAUGGUUGUCGUCAGCUCGUGUCGUGAGAUGUUGGGUUAAGUCCCGCAACGAGCGCAACCCUUAUGGUCAGUUACUACGCAAGAGGACUCUGGCCAGACUGCCGUUGACAAAACGGAGGAAGGUGGGGAUGACGUCAAAUCAUCAUGCCCUUUAUGACUUGGGCUACACACGUACUACAAUGGCGUUAAACAAAGAGAAGCAAGACCGCGAGGUGGAGCAAAACUCAGAAACAACGUCCCAGUUCGGACUGCAGGCUGCAACUCGCCUGCACGAAGUCGGAAUUGCUAGUAAUCGCAGAUCAGCAUGCUGCGGUGAAUACG